UAGCUAGUUGGUGAGGUAAAGGCUUACCAAGGCGACGAUCUGUAGCGGGUCUGAGAGGAUGAUCCGCCACACUGGAACUGAGACACGGUCCAGACUCCUACGGGAGGCAGCAGUGGGGAAUUUUGGACAAUGGGGGCAACCCUGAUCCAGCCAUGCCGCGUGAGUGAAGAAGGCCUUCGGGUUGUAAAGCUCUUUCGGCCGGGAAGAAAUCGCAUGGGCCAAUACCCUGUGUGGAUGACGGUACCGGAAUAAGAAGCACCGGCUAACUACGUGCCAGCAGCCGCGGUAAUACGUAGGGUGCGAGCGUUAAUCGGAAUUACUGGGCGUAAAGCGUGCGCAGGCGGUUUUGUAAGACAGGCGUGAAAUCCCCGGGCUUAACCUGGGAACUGCGUUUGUGACUGCAAGGCUAGAGUACGGCAGAGGGGGGUGGAAUUCCACGUGUAGCAGUGAAAUGCGUAGAGAUGUGGAGGAACACCAAUGGCGAAGGCAGCCCCCUGGGUCGAUACUGACGCUCAUGCACGAAAGCGUGGGUAGCAAACAGGAUUAGAUACCCUGGUAGUCCACGCCCUAAACUAUGUCAACUAGGUGUUGGGUGGGUAAAACCAUUUAGUACCGUAGCUAACGCGUGAAGUUGACCGCCUGGGGAGUACGGCCGCAAGGUUAAAACUCAAAGGAAUUGACGGGGACCCGCACAAGCGGCGGAUGAUGUGGAUUAAUUCGAUGCAACGCGAAAAACCUUACCUACCCUUGACAUGCCAGGAACUUGCCAGAGAUGGCUUGGUGCCCGAAAGGGAACCUGGACACAGGUGCUGCAUGGCUGUCGUCAGCUCGUGUCGUGAGAUGUUGGGUUAAGUCCCGCAACGAGCCAACCCUUGUCGUUAAUUGCCAUCAUUUAGUUGGGCACUUUAACGGGACUGCCGGUGACAAACCGGAGGAAGGUGGGGAUGACGUCAAGUCCUCAUGGCCCUUAUGGGUAGGGCUUCACACGUCAUACAAUGGACGGUACAAAGGGUUGCCAAGCCGCGAGGCGGAGCCAAUCCCAGAAAGCCGAUCGUAGUCCGGAUUGCAGGCUGCAACUCGCCUGCAUGAAGUCGGAAUCGCUAGUAAUCGUGGAUCAGCAUGUCACGGUGAAUACGUUCCCGGGUCUUGUACACACCGCCCGUCACACCAUGGGAGCGGGUUCCGCCAGAAGUAGGUAGCCUAACCGCAAGGGGGGCGCUUACCACGGCGGGGUUCGUGACUGGGGUGAAGUCGAAACAAGGUAGCCGUAGGGGAACCUGCGGCUG
This 1286-nucleotide ribosomal RNA is filed under the name metagenome. Its description in RNAcentral is "bacterial SSU rRNA". It matches the Rfam family "Bacterial small subunit ribosomal RNA", at positions 242 to 1520 of the family's 1533-position model. The record is from RNAcentral.